Molecule: unclassified non-coding RNA, 371 nt
Filed under: Hevea brasiliensis (rubber tree)
Lineage: Eukaryota; Viridiplantae; Streptophyta; Magnoliopsida; Malpighiales; Euphorbiaceae
Source: RNAcentral
AGAAACCUGAGUUAUGGUCUAGAUGACACAGGACUUAUUAGGCACAUGUCCAAUGAAGAGAAACCUAGUUGGAAACUAAAUUAUUCCUUAAUAUUGCCUUGCAAUGAUGCUAAUUAAACCGGAAACAUGCAAAAUUUGGAUAAAUAUCACACGUGUUCACUCAACUUUAUGAGUAUUUUCAUAAAAAUUAUUGAACUUUAAUUUCUCUCAUACAAGUCACUGAAUCUUAAUUUGGUUUCAUAAAUAUCAUUGUGACCAGAAAUUAAAAGUUUUUAGGUUAACCAGCUAACUUGUCAAUAAUUUUACAAAUAUAAUUACUUUAUUUUAUUAGUUUAAAAAUAAAAUAAAAUACAUAAAACGUAUCAAGCUAU